This 301-nucleotide ribosomal RNA is filed under the name uncultured bacterium. RNAcentral's name for it is "partial 16S ribosomal RNA". It matches the Rfam family "Bacterial small subunit ribosomal RNA", at positions 509 to 807 of the family's 1533-position model. The record is from RNAcentral.
CAGUAGCCGCGGUAAUACGGAGGGAGCUAGCGUUGUUCGGAAUUACUGGGCGUAAAGCGCACGUAGGCGGCUUUGUAAGUUAGAGGUGAAAGCCUGGAGCUCAACUCCAGAAUUGCCUUUAAGACUGCAUCGCUUGAAUCCGGGAGAGGUGAGUGGAAUUCCGAGUGUAGAGGUGAAAUUCGUAGAUAUUCGGAAGAACACCAGUGGCGAAGGCGGCUCACUGGACCGGCAUUGACGCUGAGGUGCGAAAGCGUGGGGAGCAAACAGGAUUAGAUACCCCAGUAGUCCCUGUCUCUUAUAC